Molecule: ribosomal RNA, 1421 nt
Filed under: metagenome
Description: bacterial LSU rRNA
Rfam family: Bacterial large subunit ribosomal RNA
Source: RNAcentral
UCUUUGACAACUAGGAGGUUGGCUUAGAAGCAGCAAUCCUUUAAAGAAAGCGUAAUAGCUCACUAGUCUAGUGACUCUGCGCGGAAGAUACAACGGGGCUAAGUAUGAUACCGAAGCUGCGGAUCCGUAAGGAUGGUAGAGGAGCGUUCUGAAUUAGGCUGAAGGUUGACCGGAAGGACAGCUGGACGAAUCAGAAGUGAUCAUGCUGACAUAAGUAGCGUUUAACUCGAGUGAAAAACUCGGGCGCCGAAAACUCAAGGGUUCCGGGGCAAGGAUAAUCCUCCCCGGGUUAGUCGAGACCUAAGCCGAGGCCAAUUGGCGUAGGCGAUGGCAGUACAGUUAAUAUUCUGUAACUCUUUUCGGAUUGUUAUCGGAGGGACGGAGUAGGUUAUCUCAGCCGGUUAUUGGAUUCCGGUGUAAGCGUGUAGGUGGUAGAGUAGGUAAAUCCGCUCUGCAUAACACUGAGGCGUGAAUGCGAGGGUCUUCGGACCCGGAAGUGAGAAAAACCAUGCUUCCAAGAAAAGCUUCGUUAAUUUAAGAAAAGACUCGUACCGUAAACCGACUCAGGUGAGUGGGGUGAAGAUCCUAAGGCGAUGGGAUGAAUUGUGGUUAAGGAACUCGGCAGCUUAACACCGUAACUUCGGAAUAAGGUGUGCCAGCGAAUGUGUAAGGCCUCGCGCCCCAAGCAUUUUCUGGUCGCAGAGAAAUGGGAGUAGCGACUGUUUAUCAAAAACACAGGCAUGUGCAAAGUCACAAGACGACGUAUACGUGCUGACGCCUGCCCGGUGCUGGAAGGUUAAGAGGAUUUGUCAGCGCAAGCGAAGCAGAGAAUCGAAGCCCCAGUAAACGGCGGCCGUAACUAUAACGGUCCUAAGGUAGCGAAAUUCCUUGUCGGGUAAGUUCCGACCUGCACGAAUGGCGUAACGACUUCUCCGGUGUCUCAAUCACAGGUCCCGCGAAAUUGAAUUCUCGGUGAAAAUGCCGAGUACCCGCAGAAAGACGGAAAGACCCCGUGAACCUUUACUGUAGCUUGGCAGUGAUUUUAGAGUUUUGAUGUGUAGCCUAGGUGGGAGGCUUUGAAGCCAUGGCGCUAGCUGUGGUGGAGCCAAAAGGUGAAAUACCACCCUUUGAAACUUUGAAAUCUAACCUGCUCCCAUCACUGGGAGAGGGACACUGUCUGGUGGGCAGUUUGACUGGGGCGGUCGCCUCCUAAAAAGUAACGGAGGCGCGCGAUGGCCCCCUCAGCCUGGUUGGAAAUCAGGCGUCGAGUGCAUUGGCAUAAGGGGGCUUGACUGCGAGACUUACAAGUCGAGCAGGUGCGAAAGCAGGCCAAAGUGAUCCGGUGGUCCCGUGUGGAAGGGCCAUCGCUCAACGGAUAAAAGGUACUCCGGGGAUAACAGGCUUAUUCCGCCCAAGAGUCC